GAUGAACGCUGGCGGCGUGCCUAAUACAUGCAAGUCGAGCGAACAGAUGAGGAGCUUGCUCCUCUGACGUUAUAGGCGGACGGGUGCGGAACACGUGGAUAACCUACCUAUAAGACUGGGGUAACUUCGGGAAACCGUAGCUAAGACCGAAUAAUAUAUUGAACCGCAUUGGUCAAGAGUGAAAGACGGUUUUGCUGACACUUAUAGAUUGAUCAGGGCCGCAUUCGCUUGUUGGUAAGGUAACGGCUUACCAAGGCAACGACGCGUAGCCGCCCUGAGAGGGUGGUCGGACACCCUGGAUCUGAGACUCGGUCCCGACUCCUACGGGAGGCCGCAGUAGGGACUCUUCCGCGAUGGGCGAAAGCCUGACGGAGCACCGCCGCCUGAGUCAUGAUGGUCCUCUGAUCGUAGAGCUCUGUUAUUAGGGAAGAACAAAUGUGUAAUUACCUAUGCUCGUCUUGACGGUACCUAAUCAGAAAGCCCCGGCUAACUCCGUG
This 497-nucleotide ribosomal RNA is filed under the name uncultured bacterium. Its description in RNAcentral is "partial 16S ribosomal RNA". It matches the Rfam family "Bacterial small subunit ribosomal RNA", at positions 28 to 507 of the family's 1533-position model. The record is from RNAcentral.